This is a long non-coding RNA of Polypterus senegalus (gray bichir), 1093 nucleotides long. RefSeq lists it as uncharacterized. The record is from RefSeq and is a predicted model, not a curated record. NCBI's taxonomy places the organism in Eukaryota, Metazoa, Chordata, Cladistia, Polypteriformes, Polypteridae. The transcript has 3 exons.
AGUUCGGUACGCAUUCGCAGCUCCUUAUCUGUUUUUCUGCCAACCGAAUACGGAGCUGCUGCGAAUUAGUAGCCGCCUUCAUCCUCGUCCUGGCCGGGGUGUACUACGUGUUAUGUUACAGUGCUACCUACACACACUUUGACACAGCUGCCACAUUCGAUAGCUCAAGUGAAUAAGAAAGCCCUGCUCUGCCUCUUAAAUUCUUAUUUAAUAUCUGCAACUAAACGAUAUGCGAACAGCCCUACACCUGCAGAAAUUAUGUGCGCGGCAUUAAAGUGCUGGCUUAUCGUGCAUACUUCCUCUUCCCGGUGUCUUUAUAUUUUUUGGUAUUGAUAUGCUGAGUAAACUCUCUACUUCCUUCGCAAUUUGUGCCGUAUCAGUUUAUUAUUUUCGGAACCAACAACAUUUUUUUUUCAAGAAUUUCAAGUCUCUUAAAUUCUACGACGAAUUAAGCUCGUUGGUAAAGCAGAACUCCGCGCCUUCGUACCGCGCUUGCGCAGUUCCUCCUAUUGUAACCUUUACGUCAGGCAGACAGACUAUCUAAUUGGUCUGUUAUUUCCCGGUUUUGAAUAUAGUUGACAUGAUUGGUCAUUUGUAAAUCUAAAGCGCGCUAUUACACCAACAUGCAUAGUCGUCGAAAAACGUAGAAACGAGUCGAGACUCGUGUUUAAAAUAUGGGACACAUAAGAAUAAUAAAAAAAAACCACCAAAACAUGACAAUAAAUAUAUGACUGUCGUCUGUUAACCGAAAUAUGAGGACAAGGAAGAAAAGCAAAAAACUGAAGAUCGGAGGCGACGGUUCGAGCGUCUUUAUAGCUGCCUGUGUUUUGCAUAGAGACGCAAGAGGAAGGCGGGACUCGGGAGAGUGCCAUGCGAGGACUUUUGGAUGUGGAAACCACUCGUCACGAGACCAAUGUUCUCUCUCGAGCAGCGGAAGUGACCUGGCGUACCAGUGGCACACAUGCAGCGCACGCAUUUGACUUGCAUUGGGAAUCCGAUGAGUCUGUGAGAUGUUGCAUACUUACGACAGAAGUGUUCAGGCUGGACCACACCGGCGAGCGCACGGCCACGCACUUGUUGGAUGGAAUUUUAC